RNAcentral lists this ribosomal RNA (523 nucleotides) under uncultured bacterium. RNAcentral describes it as "bacterial SSU rRNA". It matches the Rfam family "Bacterial small subunit ribosomal RNA", at positions 777 to 1301 of the family's 1533-position model. The record is from RNAcentral.
AAUAGAUACCCAGUAGUCCACGCCGUAAACGAUGUCGACUUGGAGGUUGUGCCCUUGAGGCGUGGCUUCCGGAGCUAACGCGUUAAGUCGACCGCCUGGGGAGUACGGCCGCAAGGUUAAAACUCAAAUGAAUUGACGGGGGCCCGCACAAGCAGUGGAGCAUGUGGUUUAAUUCGAUGCAACGCGAAGAACCUUACCUACUCUUGACAUCCAGAGAACUUAGCAGAGAUGCUUUGGUGCCUUCGGGAACUCUGAGACAGGUGCUGCAUGGCUGUCGUCAGCUCGUGUUGUGAAAUGUUGGGUUAAGUCCCGCAACGAGCGCAACCCUUAUCCUUUGUUGCCAGCGGUUAGGCCGGGAACUCAAAGGAGACUGCCAGUGAUAAACUGGAGGAAGGUGGGGAUGACGUCAAGUCAUCAUGGCCCUUACGAGUAGGGCUACACACGUGCUACAAUGGCAUAUACAAAGAGAAGCGACCUCGCGAGAGCAAGCGGACCUCAUAAAGUAUGUCGUAGUCCGGAUUGG